GACGAACGCUGGCGGCGUGCCUAAUACAUGCAAGUAGAACGCAGCUGCGAACGGGUGAGUAACGCGUAGGUAACUGCCUCAAAGCGGGGGACAACUAUCGGAAACGAGAGCUAAUACCGCAUACUGUGAGAUGGACCUUCGGUGGAUUAGCCAGUUGGUGGGGUAAAGGCUCACCAAGGCGACGAUACAUAGCCGACCUGCGGGGGUGAUCGGCCACACCGGUACUGAGACACGGCCCAGACUCCUACGGGAGGCAGCAGUAGGGAGUCUUCGGCAAUGGACGGAAGUCUGACCGCGCAACGCCGCGGGAUUGGUGAAGGUUUUCGGAUCGUAGAGCUCUUUUGUUAGAGGAGCGGUAUCUAACCAGAAAGGGACGGCUAACUACGUGCCAGCCGCCGCGGUAAUAC
This 407-nucleotide ribosomal RNA is filed under the name uncultured bacterium. Its description in RNAcentral is "partial 16S ribosomal RNA". It matches the Rfam family "Bacterial small subunit ribosomal RNA", at positions 28 to 526 of the family's 1533-position model. The record is from RNAcentral.